Molecule: ribosomal RNA, 552 nt
Filed under: Sordariomycetes sp. genotype 32
Lineage: Eukaryota; Fungi; Ascomycota; Sordariomycetes
Description: eukaryotic LSU rRNA
Rfam family: Eukaryotic large subunit ribosomal RNA
Source: RNAcentral
GUUAAAGACCCAUCUUUAACCAAGGUUGACCUCGGAUCAGGUAGGAAUACCCGCUGAACUUAAGCAUAUCAAUAAGCGGAGGAAAAGAAACCAACAGGGAUUGCCCUAGUAACGGCGAGUGAAGCGGCAACAGCUCAAAUUUGAAAUCUGGCUUCGGCCCGAGUUGUAAUUUGUAGAGGAUGCUUUUGGUGAGGUGCCUUCUGAGUUCCCUGGAACGGGACGCCAGAGAGGGUGAGAGCCCCGUAUAGUCGGCCACCGAUCCUUUGUAAAGCUCCUUCGACGAGUCGAGUAGUUUGGGAAUGCUGCUCAAAAUGGGAGGUAUAUCUCUUCUAAAGCUAAAUAUAGGCCAGAGACCGAUAGCGCACAAGUAGAGUGAUCGAAAGAUGAAAAGCACUUUGAAAAGAGGGUUAAAUAGCACGUGAAAUUGUUGAAAGGGAAGCGCUUGUGACCAGACUUGUGCCGGGCUGAUCAUCCAGUGUUCUCACUGGUGCACUCGACCCGGCUCAGGCCAGCGUCGGUUUUCGUGGGGGGAUAAAAGCUUCGGGAACGUGG